Molecule: ribosomal RNA, 1459 nt
Filed under: Monomastix minuta
Lineage: Eukaryota; Viridiplantae; Chlorophyta; Mamiellophyceae; Monomastigales; Monomastigaceae
Description: bacterial SSU rRNA
Rfam family: Bacterial small subunit ribosomal RNA
Source: RNAcentral
AGUAUGCUUAACACAUGCAAGUCGUACGGGAGAAAGGCAACUUUCUUUAGUGGCGGACGGGUGAGUAACGCGUAAGAAUCUUCCCUUUAGAGUGGUAUAACCUUUGGAAACGAUGGUUAAUCCCGCAUACGAGAGUAAUCUUGAAAGGUACAGCAAUGUAUCGCUAGAGGAUGAGCUUGCGUCUGAUUAGCUAGUUGGUGAGGUAAUGGCUCACCAAGGCGAUGAUCAGUAGCUGGUUUGAGAGAACGACUAGCCACACUGGGACUGAGACACGGCCCAGACUCCUACGGGAGGCAGCAGUGGGGAAUUUUUCGCAAUGGGCGCAAGCCUGACGGAGCAAUACUGCGUGGAGGAUGAAGGCUCGUGGGUUGUAAACUCCUUUUCCUAGAGAAGAAAUCAUUGACGGUAUCUAGGGAAUAAGCAUUGGCUAACUACGUGCCAGCAGCUGCGGUAAUACGUGGAAUGCAAGCGUUAUCCGGAUUUAUUGGGCGUAAAGCGUCUGUAGGUUGCUUCGCAAGUUUGCUGUUAAAUUGUUCGGCUCAACCGAAUCCCAGCAGCAAAAACUAUGAAGCUUGAGUGUGGUAGAGGAAAAAGGAAUUCCCUGUGGAGCGGUGAAAUGCGUAGAGAUAGGGAAGAACACCAAUGGCGAAAGCAUUUUUCUGGGCCUGCACUGACACUGAGAGACGAAAGCUAGGGGAGCGAGCGGGAUUAGAUACCCCGUUAGUCCUAGCCGUAAACGAUGGAAACUUGAUCUUGGGGUCCAAAAGACUUCAUGGUCGUAGCUAACGCGUUAAGUUUCCCGCCUGGGAAGUAUGCUCGCAAGAGUGAAACUCAAAGGAAUUGACGGGAGCCCGCACAAGCGGUGGAUUAUGCGGUUUAAUUCGAUGCAACACGAAGAACCUUACCAGGGCUUGACAUGUCACGAAGGAGCCAGAAACGGCUCUGUGUUGUUGCUUGCAACAUCACGUGAACACAGGUGGUGCACGGCUGUCGUCAGCUCGUGUCGUAAGAUGUUGUGUUAAGUCACGCAACGAGCGCAACCCUCGUGCUUUGUUCAAUAUCGUCAAAGCAGACUGCUGGUGAGAAAUCAGAGGAAGGUGAGGAUGAUGUCAAGUCAGCAUGCCCCUUACGCCCUGGGCUACACGCGUAAUACAAUGGCCAAUACAAAGAGAAGCAAAGGGGCGACCCCAAGCAAACCUCAAAAAGUUGGUCUCAGUUCAGAUUGCAGGCUGCAACUCGCCUGCAUGAAGGUGGAAUCGCUAGUAAUCGUUGGUCAGCUAUACAACGGUGAAUCCGUUCCCGGGCUUUGUACACACCGCCCGUCACACCAUGGGAGCUGACUAUGCCCAAAGUCGUUACUCCAACCGUAAGGAGGGGGAUGCCUAAGGCAGAGUGAGUGACUGGGGUGAAGUCGUAACAAGGUAGCCGUUCUGGAAGGAGUGGCUGGAACACCUCCUUA